UGUCUCAAUCCUAAGAUGGCGUCCCUGAGAGAUGCCAUGGUAUUUGUGAUCUUAGCUAGCUGGUCAACAGUACCAUAUUAGGGGUCCAUAUCUCUACGAACUGAUGGCUGUCUUAUUUGACUGUACUGAUCUGAGCUUCUCACAAGUCUCCCUCCAACCUUGAUCCAAGCUUUAGAACCUAGGUCGUACUCUCAAUCAACAAUCCUGUAAUGAAAAGGAGGGUAUUAGCCCCUCGUGACUAUCAAACUUGAAAUCAAACCAUUAAUAUAAUCCUACAAAUAAAUCCUCCGAGGGAAUGAACUAUCAUGUGAUGCCAAUAGCUAAUCAAUACAUGGCCUCAUGUGCGGAGACGAAAUUUUGACAUGGCAAUAUCCUAAGGGUAAAGUAGCUUUAUAACCAAUGACAGACGAAAACAUGACCUAAAGACUAAAUGAUCACACCCAUAGGGGGUACGCAACCUAGGAUCAUAACCAACAAACAAAGUGACAUAUUGGCCACGUAUGUAUCCAAGAAAUCCAACUCAAGGCUAUAUAGAUCUUCAUUGCUCGAAUAUCCGUCAUCUCCAUAGUGCUCCCAAACAUCGAUAUAGCCCUUACACUAGACCCCACUCCAAGCCCCUAUCUUGGUCGAAGGCAAACAAUUGGGAAUGGUUCCCAUACAACUCAAGAAACCAAUGAGGAACAACUGACCAAGACUAGGAACCCAGAUGUAAGGAGAUACAUGUGCGCCCCACAAAGACAAACAACAAGCAGUCAUGCAAGAGAUAGUGAGUCAUGCAGCAAACAAUCAUGCGCAGAGAGCUGUCCUACCACAAAAUCUACACACAAACUAAUCAUCUAUGCUUAUCAUGAAUCACAAGAUUAAGCAUUACCAACAAUGGAUGAACAUGUUAUUACCAAUCAGCAGAACACUCAGGCAACAACAAAUCACAAGUGUGAACCAAAUACUAACCAAGUUAGUGAUCAUCAGUCAUCCAAGUGGCCCAAAAGUCCGCUAGUCAAUGAACCAUGUGCUCCAAUAUACCCAACUCAAGUUCAAGUUUGAUCCUUUUAUGAAACCAGAGAUUCUGGGUUCGAUCCCCAGUGGAGUCGCUGAUUUGUGGACCCUCCCCCGAUCCACCGACUGGUGCGACUUGCAAAUUAAAACAAAUAUCGUGGAUUUGGAGAAAAAGUGGUUUUCAAGUUUUAGAAAAUCCAUCCCGACGAGGGACGAUUUUUGUUUGGAGUUGCCACUUACUUUUUAUUUUUAUUUUUGAAAUGGGGAAAAUUAAGUAAGAACAAAAACCCCUUAAUGACUCCAGUUAGGAAAAAGCGGUCCGCGAAACUAGAUUUCAGGGUCCAGGGAUCAGGUUACCUAUAAGGAAGGUACCUCAUACGAGGUAGCACCCCUCUAGGCCCGGAAUUCGGUCUCUACUAGUGAAUUGGGUACAUUGGAGCAUACGGGUCGAAGAUCAGUCAACUUCUCUCUCGGGCUACUUGAAUGACAAGACUCGCAACUCUAAUUGGUAUUCGGCACACUCAUAAAUUAAUAACCUGAACAAAGUUGCGCACCUGAAGUUCCUAGUCGUGUUCUGCGAGAAAGGGUUAGUCAAUAAGCACAAGAACACAAUAUAUGCAAAUUCUAAAUUUACUAAAAUUCCUAGCCAUGACCAAACCAUAUGUAUGUAAUCUCUAGGCUCUACCCAAUGGCCAUUAAGUGCAACCAUGACUCUGGACUAUGUGGCUAAAACUUAGCCACUCCCAUUCCACUGAUUCUCUACUAAGGCCUGACAUCUUUCCAGUUUGAACUUCAUCCCCUAACAACUGGAAUUUUGGAAACUUUCGAAACUUUUGGAAAUUGACAUUAGAAGAAUAAAUCCGAAAUCUUUGAAACUUUUGGAAAUUAAUGGAAAUUGAUACUAAAAAAAAUAAAUUUGGAAUUUUUGAAACUUUUGGAAAUUAUUGGAAAUUGAUACUAAAAAAUUAAAUCUGGAAUUUUCGUAACUUUAUGAAAUUAUUGGAAAUUGAUACUAAAAAUUAAAUCUAGAAUUUUGGAAAUUAUUGGAAAUUGAUACUAAAAAAUUAAAUAUAGAAUUUUCGAAAAUUUUGGAAAUUGACACUAGAAAAAUAAAUCCGGACUUUUCGAAACUUUUGGAAAUUAUUGAAAAUUGACACUAAAAAAUUAAAUCUGGAAUUUUUGAAACUUUUGGAAAUUGACACUAGAAAAAUAAAUCCGGAUUUUUCGAAACUUUUGGAAAUUAUUAGAAAUUGACACUGAAAAAAUUAAAUUUGGAAUUUUCGAAACUUUUGGAAAUGAUUGGAAAUUGAUACUAAAAAAUUAAAUCUAGAAUUUUCGAAACUUUUGGAAAUUAUUGGAAAUUGAUACUAAAAAAUUUAAAUAUGGAAUUUUCGAAACUUUUUAAAUUCACUGGAAAUUGACGCUAAAAAAUUAAAUUUGGAAUUUUCGAAACUUUUGAAAUUCUUGGAAAAUGACAGUAAAAAAAAAAGUAAAAAAAAAAUCCGGACUUUUGCAAAUUUUUGGAGACUUUGGCAUACGAGAAUUUAAAAAAAAAAUGAAUCCGGAAUUUUGCGAAUUUUUUGAAAUUUGGGGUACAAGAAUUUAAAAAAAAUGAAUUCGGAAUUUUGAGAGAAAUGGAAUUUUGGGAAAAUUAAUUUGAAGUUAGUAUUUUAAAAAAAAAACUGGAUGUAGAAUUAUGCAAGUUUUGGGAAUUUAAGAAUGGUGUUUUCUUUUUUCUUUUCUUUUUUUUUAAAAAAAAUAAGUUUUGAGGACUAUUCAAAGUUUGAAAAUCAUAAAAAAAGAAAAGAAAAAGAAAACUAAAUUAUAUAAUACUAUCUAAAGUUUGUAUUUUUUACAGCCGACCAUAAUUCUUUUCCAUUUUAUUUAUUUUUUAUUUAUUCAAUAAACAUCCCAACUACCAAUAACAUGUUCCAUAGCCGGCUGCACCUCACUCAUUGUUUUUUUUUUUUUUUUUUAUCCCAUCCAAACCCACCUCCACUAAUCUUUAAGUCUCCACGAACACUCGCAAGAAACUUUACAUUCGAUCCCAUUAAAGCCGGCCAUGAUCCUAUUUCAUUUCAUUUAACAAAUAAAUAAAAAAUAAAACAUGUCAAUGGCAUCAUUCACAUCAGGACUGACCAUAUAUUCACAUUCAUUUGCAUUUUAAAUCUACCAAAACAAAGUAAAAAAAUACUAACCUUACUGAGAGAAUGGUGCAGUCGGCUGUAGGUCCUUCCUCCUUUCAAUGGUGUGGCUAUGGUGUCUCCGAUGAGAGAAGCUGGACCCAAGAUCGUCUCCGAACCCCCACUUUCUUUCUUCUUCUUUUCUCUUUUGAAAACCUCUUUAGACCUCUAUGCCCUCCUGGUUCUCUGUUUUUUUUUUCCUCAUCUUUUUUGCUCUUUUUUUUUUUUUAACUCCACCUCUUCUCUUUCCAGACUUCCUCCUUAAGACUUCCCUUACAUCUUCCCAUGCAACUCCAUUUUCCCACAGUCUUCUCGGGAAACCNNNNNNNNNNNNNNNNNNNNNNNNNNNNNNNNNNNNNNNNNNNNNNNNNNNNNNNNNNNNNNNNNNNNNNNNNNNNNNNNNNNNNNNNNNNNNNNNNNNNCCCCACCCCCACUUUUCCUUUUUUUCCAAGAAAUUCCUUUUUUAUUUUUCCUUUCUUUUUCCCAAAAAAAAAAAAAAAAAAAAACAAAGACAACUUUCAUCCCCACUCAUCUUGUUGGCUUCCCAAGUAUCAAUUUUGACUUUUAAUUUUUCCAUAAAACAUCUUUUUUUUUUUUUCUUCUUAUGUAGUCCACCGACUCUCAUUUUCUACCUUUUUUUUUUUUUUUUUUUUAAAAAAAAAAAGAAGUAAAUAAAGCAAUAAAAACAUAAUUCAAUAAAAAAAAAUGAAAAUAAAAUGACAUAGUAAAAACAUAAUAUAAAUAAAUAAUAAUGGUAAUAAGAAUAACAAAGAUAACGAUAAAAAUAAUAAUAAUGAUUAUAAUAAUAAUAAGGAUAAUAAUAAUAGUAAUAUUGACAAUAAUAAAAAAAACUAAUAAUACUGGUACUAAUAAUAAUAAUAAUAAUAUAAGAUUCCCAAUCACCUGAAAAUUUCUGAAAAUAAAUAAGUGGAUCAAUAAACAAAUAAAGUAGGAAAAAUAAAUAAAUACCACACGCUCGUAACAAUAAUCUAAAUAUUAAACUAAAACACAAAUAAAAAAUGAAAAUAAAAAUAGAACAUCAAGCUGAUACAAUUAAACAUCGAAAACUCAUCUUAGGCAAUCCAAAUAAAAUAAUAAAGAAAUAUCAAUCUGAAUACUCACCUAGUCUCGAAAAUUCAUCAAUCAAGAAACUGAUCUUAGAGAAUUAAGCUCACAAAAAAUAUCUAAGUGACCUGGGUGACUUAAGUGGAAAGUGCCAAGGUGAAUUAAGUGGAAACUAAACCAAGGAGGUGUCCAAGUGAUAAAAAAACAUGCCAAGUGACUUAGGAGUGUACCUAUCGGGCCAGGUGUAUCUUAAUAGGCCUAUGGUGCUAAGAAAACCAAAAACAAACCGGUUGAGCUAGUUGAUAAAAAAACUCAAAUUUUGAAAGAAUAUCCAUCGAGAAAUAAGGAAUCCAACAAAACAAAAACGGUGCGCAAUUCCGAGCUAGGAUGAGAGAGAAAUGACUAAAACAGGAUAGAGUGCUCCCGAAUUGGAUGGGCUUCAACGAGUUUUAAAUGAAUUGAAAUCUUUAUGGAGACCCUAACUCUUGACCUGUAGCAUGAUAUGAACCAAGGAAUUGGCCAUGACGGCAUUUCAUAAUGGACCAAACGUUCUUACUAAAUCGAACCAUAAGUGAACUCAUGUGAGGUUUGAAAAUCGAUUAAGCCUAAUAAGGGCUCCAUGGCCAUGACAUACAUAAAUUGGGUGUGGGUGACACCCCCAAGAUACAUGCAAGUGGCAAGGGACAAAUUGCGGGUCUACAGGUAUGAUAGUUCCUUAUUAUUUUAUAUGAUUAGGUUUGACUAGGCUAUUAAGAGUGUCUUCAUUCAAUUCCAAUAGCUUGUUAGAUUAUAAUCAUAGACUUCUCAUUCGAGAAUAUUUUUUCUUUAUAAACAUGUUAUUAGUGACUAAUGUGUGUCUUAAAAUGAUUCAUGAAUUUUCCAUAUGUGGAUAAUUUAGGAAUACAUGAAUCUAAUUACACUAUACAACUUUUGUUUUCAUUUAACUUUAUAGAAAUUUGAUAAUGUCUCUACUUCAUUUAUGGAUUUGAGUAUUUUUUAGUACUCGCCUAUUUCUUGUGAUAGUAUCUCUAUAUCUACACCCCACUCACCCACUCCACAAAUAUUUGAUAUAGAUGAUGAGAUUGCACAACCUUAUUAAGAUAGAGACUCUUUUGAUCAUGACUCAGAUCCCAUAGAUGAGAGAGUUUCACUUGCUACAGGGAAUGUUGAGACUGUUUAUUUUGGCAGAGAUGACCAACCUAGAGAGCUGAAGAUUGGUUCACCUCUAUCUAUAGAUGAGAAGAAUGGACUUAUUCAUUUACUUAGGUCAUAAUUGGAUGUCUUUUCAUAGUCUUAUGAGGACAUGCCUGGUCUUGAUUCCUCUAUAGUCCAGCACCACUUGCCUAUUCUUCCACAUGCCAGAUCGGUUAAACAGAAAUUAAGGCGAUUGCACCCACAUUGGAGUCUACAACUGAAAGAGGAGAUUCAGAAAUAGCUCAAUGUUGGAUUUAUAUCAGUAGUUGAGUAUCCAGAGUGGUUGGCUAACGUCAUCCCUGUUCCCAAAAAGGAUGGCAACGUUAGAGUUUGUGUUGACUUUAGAGACCUUAAUAAAGUCAACCCUAAAGAUAACUUUUCUCUCCCACAUAUUGAUUUGUUGGUCGAUAGCACCGCUGACCAUUCGAUGUUGUCUUGCAUGGAUGGGUUUUCAGGUUAUAAUCAGAUUUUGAUGGCUCCAAAGGAUAUGGAGAAGACAACCUUUAUUACUGAGUGGGGUACCUACUGUUACAAGGUUAUGCCAUUUGGGUUGAAAAAUGCAGAAGCCACUUAUUAGAGGGCCGCUACUACUUUAUUUCAUGAUAUGACGCAUAGGGAUGUUGAAGUUUAUGUGGAUGAUAUGAUUGUGAAAACCCGAGGCAAGAGUAGAUCACCUAGUAGUUCUAAAGAGAUUCUUUGAGAGGAUUCAUAAAUUCAAAUUGAGGCUGGAUCCCAAGAAGUGCACCUUUGGAGUGACUUCUGGGAAAUUGUUGGGGCAUAUGGUCAGUGAGCGAGGCAUAGAGGUUGACCCAGAUAAGAUCAAAGCCAUACUUGACAUGCCUGUGCCGAGGACUGAGAAAGAGAUUUAGGGUUUUCUAGGUAGGUUAUAGUAUAUCAGUCAUUUCAUAGCCAGAUUGACAGACAUAUGUGAGCCCAUCUUUUGUCUUUUGAGGAAAAACCAACCAAUAGUUUGAAAUGAUUAUUGCUAGCUUGCAUUUGAGAAGAUUAAGGAGUAUUUACUUUCUCCUCCCAUUUUAGUGCCUCCCAUGCUAGGACGUCCACUUUUAUAUUUUUCAGUUUCAAACAUGGCCUUGGGAUAUAUGCUAGCUCAACUUGAUGACUCAGGAAAGAAACGAACUAUUUACUAUCUGAGUAAGAGGAUGGUGGGGUAUGAGAUGAGAUAUGUUAUGAUUGAGCGCCUUUGUUUAGCACUAGUUUGGGCUACCAUGAUAUUGAGGCAUUACAUGAUAGAGUAUUUAGUUCAUUUGAUAUCUCGCCUAAAUCCGUUGAGAUACUUAUUUGAUAGACAUGCAUUGACUGGUAGACUGAUGAGAUGGCUCGUAUUUUUGAAAGAGUUCGAUAUUCAGUAUGUUUCUCUGAUACUCUAGUCAAUCUACCUCCAACUCUAAUCCACAAAGGCGAAUCCAUAUUGGUCAUGGUAAACCCUCUUACAAACAUGAGAACACUAGAUAAGGUGCGGUAUGAAGGAGACUCUAUAGGAACCAACUGAUAAAUGUGUAGAAAUAUAGCCCAAAUAUACUCAAUCCGAUACCCAUCUCUAAUCACACCAAAAGGAGACUACGGAGAGGAUAACUAAACCUAAUUGUGACCAAGGCAUCUCUGAAGGUCGACAAAUGCACCCACGUGUAGGAAUGAUAUCUUAAUUGGAUUUAGACUAGCUUAUAAGAUUGAGGUGGCUCUAUAAGAUAAAAUUGGUAGGUUAAAGGAUCCCUAGCAGAAGUGAUCUUACCCUUCGGCAGUACGCAACCCUCUGCACGCCUCCGGGGAGACGAGGUGCUUCCAUAUAAGGUGGUCAUCACCUCCACACAUGCACUUUCUUGCUUUCCUAGGGGGUUUCUUAAUGGUUAAGACUCUGUCAUAUCUCUACACUUAGGGUAUAAUCUAAAGUGCAUGGUGAAGGAUGUGGGUGCAUUUGAAAAAUCCUAAAUCUAAAGUGAGAUAGUAAAUAGAGACAAACAAUUAUACAAUCAUGCAGGGGCAAGGGUUUUCAUGUAACAAGUAGUCAUACCAAGCAAAUAGAUAUCAUAUAAAUAAAGUCCUAUCUAACAUAUGUGAGAGUGAAUCAUGUUGAAGUGAGCAAGCAAUCAAGUGAUCAUUCAAGGCAAUUAAACAUGUUAAGAUAGCAUAACAAACAAGAGAGCAAAUCAGAUCACCUUGCCUAAAAAAGGGGUACCCUCUAAUCGACCAAUUAAAUGCCACAUUUUCUUCAACUAGUGCUCAAGCUUGAUCCUCAAGAUCCCCAGCAAAGUUGCCAAUUUGUUGACCCGUAUUUUUCACGUGCGUCCCCACUCAAUGACAAGACUCAUUUUUAUUGGUGAAAAAUUAGUUUUGGAAAAGUUGGAGUUGCUACUUAUUUUAUUUUAUUUUAAAAGGGAAAAUAAAACAAGAAAAAAACUCUAAAGAAGUGACUCCAUAGUUUUGGUAUAGCAAGUCUUGAAAAACCUGAGUCUUGGUUCGGGGAUCAGGUUACUUAUUGGGAAGGUACCUCUAAGAAGUAGCACCCCUCUAAGCCUUAAAGAGGUUUCCAAUGACUAAGUUGAGGGAAAAGUGGCAAUUAAUAAAUUGAUUGAAAAUACCUAGGUAGACUAAAGUGAUUUUAGAAUUAACAUGACAAGCAAGAAAGUCAAAUCACGAUUAUAAAAGAGAGUCAAAGUGUGUACCUGGACUUCUUCUCAAGCGCUAUCAUAAAACAUCAAAGUUAAUGUAGAAAUAUAGUACACAACAUGCAUUUUAUCCAUGCAAGUCAAACAUACAUCUAAGCACCCAAGGAUUACAUCAAACAUGGAUAUGAUCUUCAAUAGCAUACAUGUUCAUAGAAUUUUCGAAAGUGAGUGAGAGAGAAAGAGAGCGUACCUAGGUAGCAUGCAUAAUUUAUAAGAUUCCUUAAAAAAUGCUAGAGUAGUUAGGACACGUAUAAAUUAUAUAACAUAUUCAUUAUGUCUAAUAUGCAAUACCAAAUCCAAAAUUGAGCCAAGGUAAGUCGAAUGACUCCAAAAAUAAAUAACCACUUCAAGCAAUGUACAAGAUCAUCAAUAUGCAAUUAGAAAAGGGAGCAUCACAAAACAAUUUCUAAAAAAAUAUUUUGGAGUUGAAUUUAAUUACAAAAAAUUUUAGGAAACAACAUCUACACUUCUAGAACAACAUAACAAAAAAAAAAAAAAAACAAACGCUCAUUCAAAUGAUAGAUUGCAACAAAGACACCUAAAAGUUCCAGAAGGUCCAGAUUAGGUAAAAAAAAAUAAAAAUGACAUGCAUAAACAAUUUGUUUUUUUAAAAAUAAUAAGAGAUCACAUAAAAUCAUACAAAAAAUCACACACAUCAUUCAAAGUGUCUAUAUCAUAGAAAAAAAUAAAUUUAGGGUUAGAUAGCAUUCAAAAUUAUUUCUAAAACACUCAAAUUAAUUAGAUGUCUAGAAUCCAUCUGUACAGUAGGUAUGACUUUGAAAAAUCAUAUCUCCCUCAAAAAAAUAUAUUUUUUAAUAUUUUAUAUAUCUAAGAUCAAUUUCAAGAAGUCUAGAAUUAAUAAAAAAUAUUGAAUCAAAUUUGAAAAGUCAUCUGUUAUUUUAUUUUUAGAAAAAUAUUUUGGGUGUUCAAAAUUGGGUGAAAACAGAGCCCUCCUAACAACUCAUUUAUACCUUCUAUUCCGGAAUUGUUUUCUAGCUCAAAUGAAUUUUAAAUUAAAGUUCAAUAAGUGAGAAAAAUCAUACAAGUUUUGGAAAUUUUUUUCAAAUAUUCUGAAGUUGUUUAAACAAAAUUUAAAGCUAAAGGGUCAGUGAUUGAGUGAAAACUGAUAGCAAGGAAGAGUUUUGAAAAAAUGAUUUUAUGUAGGGGUUCUACCAAUUCCCUAAUUGAUAUACACAAAUCCAGCCUAGAAUUAUCUCAUUUAUUGGGACCACAAGCUUGGAUUCAUGUCUCACUCAAAACCAUAACUUUUAUUGAAAACUGAGAAAGAUGCGAACUGAUCAAAACAUGGUUGCAUAUUAUUUAAAAAAAAUGAGAUUUUGAUUCUAAGGACUCUAAAUGAAUUUUUUUUUAAAUAUAUUUUCAAAGGGAUCCUUUGAGAAAAGUAUUUUAUUUUAAAGUAAAAUAAAUUAAUUUGAAAGCAACAAAACAUAAGAAAUGAAUUACCAAGCAAAACAAAAGAAAACAAAAUCACAAAGUAAAUUUUUUUUACAACCAAGCAAAUUGAAGUGGUGAGAAUGGAGGCCAAUCUUCAUUAUUUUCCGAUGGCCUCCGAAGAUUAAAUUUGAUAAAGAGCUUAUCAAAAUAAUAAACUAUUAAUAUUUAGAUAAAAUAAACUAACGAUAUAUCCAUAAGAAUUAACAAUUAGGGUUCAAAAAAAUGCCUAACUUGAGCAUAACAAAUCAAGAACUAGCAUAAGAUCAAUUAAACACACAAACACAUUUAAACUAAAAAAAUAAAUUAAAACUAAACUAAAUUGGAAUUAAAAACAUCAACUUUAUCUAAUAAGAUUAAUUAAACUAUCGGAUUAAAAUUACAAACACAUCUUAACUAAAAUAAAUAAAUAAAUAAGUAAAUUAAAACUAAACUAAAUCAGAAUUAAAAACAAGAUCUUUACCUAAAAGGUUUAAUUAAACAAUUGAAUUCAAAUCACAAGCACAUCCAAACUAUAGAAUAAAUUAUAACUAAACUAAAUUGAAAUAAAAACAUAUUAACUUUAUCUAACAAGAUUAAUUAGACUAAUGAAUUAAAAUCAACAACAAUUCCAAUUAAAAAAUAAAUUAUAACCAAACUAAAUCCGAAUUAAAAACAUGAAAUUUAUCUAACAUGAUUAAUUAAACUAAAGAAUUUAAACUUACAUUUUUCAAGAUUCUUCCGUGUGGUGCGACUAUAAGGCUUCUCAAUGGAUGGUGCGAAUGCAAGACUUCUUAAUGGAUGGUGCGGCUGCAAGACUCCUCAAUGGAUGGUGCGGAUGAAGCGGCUACAAGAUUCCUUAAUGGAUGGUGUGGAUGGAGCGUCUGCAAGGCUUUAAUGAUGAAUGACGACUAUGUGCUUCUAUGUUGGCGACCGAAUGGAGUCCCCUCCUGAUUUCCCAAAAUCUAUGCGUGCUCCCCUCUUUUCGAAUACAUGGUCAGCCCUCCUUAAAUGACACCUUGUUUGUGGAGAUUCUAUAUAUGUAUGCCCUCUAUGGAAAGUGCAGGCUGUUAACAUUAUUACUUCUCUUUCCACUGAGUGUUAGUGCCUUCUUUUCCCAUAUAUACGUGUUGCAGAAUCAACAUCCCACUAUAUGCGGGUUGUCUCUAUGGUAAGUUCACAUAUUCCCACAUGCAGCCCGUGAUUUUUUUUUUCAGUCUUUCCAUUGGUGGACUUUCCUUAUGUAGUCGCGUGCAUGCUCAUAUGCGUGGUGGGUAUUAUACCUUCAUGGUGCAGCCUGUGGAGAGAUCCCCUUUGGUGAUGCGAUUGAAAGUGACAGUUCCUUCAAUAGUGCGUCCUUAUCUUAGAGAUUAUCAUCUAUGGAGAUGACAGUUGUUGUGCAUGCUUUGUGGUAUGGGCUGCUCAUUUUCCCUCAAAGUAGUAGCAUCUUCGUGGAAAAUAAUAUAUCCAUGAGUGGUUAUGGCUGUAACUCCCUAAAGACAUAAAAAAAAUGGAUUGUUUCUUUGAUUAAAAAAUGUGGACUAUUACUCCCCAAAGACAUAAAAAACUGGAUUGUUUAUUUGAUUAAAAAAAUGUGGACUGUUACUUCCCAAAGACAUUAAAAAUUGGACUGUUUCUUUGAUUAAAAAAAGACUUGUUGUGCUCAAUCCUUCUUGCCCUCUAAAACUUAUUUUGAAAAUCCCAAAAUAUGUUGAAUCUUCACGUCCGAAAACCCUUGGAAUGCUCCCUCAAAAUCCAACCGGUGCAUCAUGAUCCCGAUGAAUUACAGAGAAUGAUAAUGGCGGUGAUGAUCAAUAUCAAGAGCUCGUUUAUGUGUGGCUUCGAUGAGUUUCCAUGGAUGAUCACGAUUUCUUUGACAGCCAAGGAAGAUGGAGAUCUGGUGUGGAGAGAUUCCAAUUUUCUGGCUAAGAAUUGAUUGGAAAUUCUUAAACUCCAUUGAAGAAAACAUAACAACAUCUUCGAUGUUGACUUCUCGUUCCCCAUCAAAGAAGACAACCAGAAUAGAGACCGGACGUUGGUCUCCAUCUUCUUUCCUGCACGUGAAUGGCAGCCUUGGAGACUGCUCAUUUUUUUUAUGGCUCCAAGUCUCAUGCAAAAUUCCAAAAUAAAAUUGAAAAUCAGAAAUCAUGUAAUUGGAAAUUUAAAAUUAAAAAUUAAAAUUAUGCAAUUAAAACUAAAAUAUCAAACACAUUAAAAGAAUUAAAAUCAUGAAGCUCAAGCAAUUUCCUACAAAAAUAAAUAAAUCAAUAAAGUAAAGUAAAUAUGCCUGUACUAAGAACUGAGAAAGAGAUUGGGAGUUUUCUGGGUAGGUUACAGUACAUCAGUCAUUUCAUAGCCAGAUUGACAAACAUAUGUGAGCCCAUCUUUCGUCUUUUGAGGAAGAACCAACCAACAGUUUGGAAUGAUGAUUGCCAGCUUGCAUUUGAGGAGAUUAAGGAGUAUUUGCUCUCUCCUCCUGUUUUAGUGCCUCCCAUGCUAGGACGUCCACUUCUUCUAUAUUUGUCAGUUUUAGACAUGGCCUUGGGAUGUAUGCUAGCUUAGCUUGAUGAUUCAGGGAAUGAGCGAGUUAUUUACUAUCUAAGUAAUAGGAUACUGGAGUAUGGGAUGAGAUAUGUUAUGAUUGAGAGCCUUUUCUUAGCAUUAGUUUGGGUUACCAGGAGAUUGAGGCAUUACAUGAUAGAGUAUUGAGUGCAUUUGAUAUCUCGCCUAGAUCCACUGAGAUACUUAUUUGACAGACCUGCAUUGAUUGGUAGACUGAUGAGAUGGUUUGUACUUUUGACAGAGUUCGAUAUUUUGUAUGUUUUUCAAAAGUCUAUUAAGGGAAGUAUUGUCGCCGAUCAUUUUGCCUCACUACAGACAUCUGAGGAUAGACCAGUUGAUGAUGAUUUUCCAGAUGAGGAGUUUGUUGCUAUGACUAGCUUAUCAGGAUGGUGCAUGUACUUCGAUGGUGCAACCAAUCAAUCAGGGUACGAGAUAGGUGUUCUGUUGGUAUCUCCUCAGGGUGAUCAUAUUCCGAGGUCCGUUCGUUUGGCAUUCUCUGAUCGACAUCCUAUCACGAAUAAUAUAGUUGAGUAUGAGGCUUAUAUCCUUGAUUUAUAGAUUGCAUUGGAGCUUGGCAUUAGAUAGAUGGAGGUAUUUAGUGACUCCAAUCUGGUACUUAGACAGAUUUAGGGGGAUUGGAAGACUGGGGAUGUAAAGCUUAGGCCUAAAUUAUUUGCACAUUUCCCUCAACUUAGUCAUUAGAGACCUCUUUAGGGCUUAAAAGGGUGCUACCUCUUAGAGGUACCUUCCUAAUAGGUAACUUGAUCCCCGGACCAAGACUAGGGAUUUUCAAGACUUGCUUUUCCAAAACUAUGGAGACAUUUCUUAAGGGUUUUCUUUCUUGUUUUAUUUUCCCUUUUAAAUAAAUUAAAAUAAGUGGUGACUAAAACUUUUCCAAAACUAAUUUUUCACCAAUAAAAGUGAGUCUUGCCAUUGAGUGGGGAUGCACGUAAAAAAUGCGGGUCCACAAUCUCCUAUCAUUUUCUAGAUACCUACUUAAACAUUGUGACAUAUAUAUACACCAUUGAGCACAAUUGGAGGAGUAGGCUCAAUAGUUGGAUGAGAUUAUCAAUGAACGUCAAUGCACUAUUACAUCUUUGAAAUUUGAAUUAUCCAAUCUUAGCAUAUCAAUAUUGCAAUUUUUUUCAUGGUAAGUUGAAUUUCAAGUUGCAUACACUUCACUAAUUCCUUAAGUUAGUGUUCUAGCAGUUCUUCAAGUUAGAGACACUCUAAAACAAUGUAAAUUUUUUAUUUUAAGCAUUUUAAUUUGUUAUUUUAUUGCAUAUAGGCAUGGUGUGGUAUUAUUAAAAGAUAAAAAAUUGGAUAGUAAGAAAAUAAAAAUAAUGACUCAAAUAUUGAUUUAUAUGAAUAUAUUUAAUUACUAAUAAAUAAUUUGUUUAUGGCUUUAAUGACAAUUUGGUUUUUGAUAUGCAAAAAACAACUAAGGAAGUAGAACUUGUGAGCAUAGUGUAGGCCUUCCAUUUUAUCCCUUUUGCACUUAUAAACUGAUCUUGUACUUGGUGCCCCUUUCUUUUCUUUGCUUUCUAACAUUAGUCUACAUGUAGGCUUCCCCUCUUCAUGGUUGUUUUUGUACUCUUUAGAGGUCUAGAUGAUACUAAGAUUUUAACAUUGGUUUCUUAGCCUCUUGUAGAAGCUUUUCAGUGGGAUUUUUGAGUCCACAUUACAAUUUUGAUAGCACUUAUGGAGUCCCCAAAGUUUCCUUGCUCUUCAAGCUCAAGAGGAGCUUUACUUAAGCAAGGGUGGACCACUAUUGGUUUAAGCGGUCUAGCUAACCAAUUCAACUAGUUUAGGCAACCGGUUAGACUAAUCUAUGCAUUCGAUUCAACUAAUUCAAUCGGUUGAAACUAAAGAUCCUCACUUUUUAUUUGAGUUUAUUUAUUUAUUUAUUAGGCCUUUUUGAUGGCAAAUGGAUGAUAUGUAGGUCUUGGAAGGUCACAUUUUGUUUAUAUGUUAUUUUCUUGCAUUAUAUGUCUUUUAGAUACAUGAUUAUACACUUAUAUUAAUGCUUGAAUGUUGCUUGAUCCAUGCUUGGUGUUAUUUUGUUCAAUUUUUGGGUUUAGUUUUUGUUUUUCUUUUUGUUUUUUUUCAUUAAGUUCAUUGAGCCUUGGAGUUUGAUAUGGGACUUGUAUUACUCUACCCUCUUUUUUAUUUUGUUCAAAUAUUAAGGAACACCUUUUCUAUCUGUAAAACCAAAAGUCCAAUAGGGAACACCUAGGGGAGGGGGGGUGUAUGGGUGAUUUAAAAAUUUUCAAUAAAGAUUUGUAUGUUAUAGCCAAUUCUUUUACCCUAUGAGAUGUUAGGGAUGAUCUAUUUUAUCAAUUAUAGGAAAUUCAAACAGAAUAUCAAAUAUAAACAAUGAGACAUAAGAUUUUUACGUGGAAAACUUCCACACUAACUAUGGGGAUAAAAAACCAUGAGGUCUAGGACCUACUAAUCUAAAUCCAUUAUAUGAAAUCAAGUUACACAGAUUUACUUGGUCGUUUUGCCCUAAAAGCUUAAUUUUUAGUACCUACAACUUGAUUCAUGUCUGUGAUGCAACAACCCUCGAUUGCUCCAGUAGAUCAUGUCAACCUUGCCAAAGAGAUGAAGGUCUUUAAAUCAAGAUUGAAAGAUUUAAUACUUGAAUGAGAAAUGGAGAAUGGUGUGACACUUUAAGCUUUUUCUCUAGGAAAUCCUUUCUAAAGAAUGAAAGAACAAUCUAUCUCUAAUAUCUACGAUCUUUAACCAAUCUCUAAUCCUCAAGGGGUUAAAAGAGAGAUAUUUAUAGGCAAAAACCUUAAGAGUUUUAGUUUUGGAAGGUUUUUCAAUUGAAUUUGCAUGAAAUACUCAAUAGAAUCUGCAUGACCGCUUGAGCCAACUCACUAAUCACUUAAGCACCUUAGGUGCUUGAGUGGUAUGACUACCUUGAGCACUCCAGGCCGCUUGAGUGCUUCUACUCUAUUUAAAAUUCAUUUUAAAAAUAUUUUUAAGUUCAAAACAAAACCGAUCCUUUUAAUAUCUCAACAAAACCUAAUUACCACAAGUCAAACCUCUUUAGACAUACCUAUGACUUAUCGAUUGGAAGAACAACAACUCUUGAUCUUCAAUGGAGAGCAACUCACUAUAAAAAAGACUUCUAUGGCCAAAUAUAAAAAGGAACAAAAUUACCAACAUAAAAACAAGACUCAUCCUAACAAUCUUCCCCUUUGGCAAUUUUAUGACAAAACAUCAUCACAUAAAUCCCCUCGAACUCUCAUAACAGAGUUUAUAUAACACAAAUUAACACUCAAUUAAAACUAAACUAAGGGAAUGCUUUGCAUCACUUUAUAGCACUCAUCUUUCAACCCUGUAACUUGCACACAUACAAAAAAACUAUACCAAAGGUAUAACCGUGUGAAGGAUAAGAUAUGAUUAAGAAAGCAAAACAAGAUAAUUGGAGAUUUUGCUUGAUGCCUUAUGAAAGCAUGAAAAAUGAACAAAUUCCUAUAGUGACACCAAGGUACAAAGCAAAGCAUGAGAGGAACAUAUAUGUAUGCAAAUCAACCAAACAUAAUAGAAGCUUGAUAGACACAAUAAAUCAAUAAUAAUGCUUAAAGGUCUAUCUCCAACCAGAAAAAAGAUAGUGAAAGCCAUGGGAAAAAGCUUUUAUAACUCAAAAUAGUUCUACAGAGAUAGUCAAUUUAAACAUAAAUAUCUUACAAGAAACAUCUGUUUUAGGUGUCUCUCUUAGACUUCUAAGUUAUGCUUUCAUCAGUUGAUUUGGUUUUCUCCAAUGUCUUAGGUUUAAUUUUCUCCAAUAUUUCAAUUGAUUUCCCUUAAUGUUAAAGAGUUUCUUUAUCUUUUCCCAAUUAUCUUUAUGCUUAUGUUCAUGUCUAUGCUUCCCCUAUCUCCAUAUUUAAGUGAAUUAAAUAUUCAAUGAUCUCCCAUUUUUUGUCACAAAACAGCAAAGUAAAUUAAUCGUAAACGCAAGAAAGCACACAAGAGAAAAAGAGAAAUACAAGCAUCAUAAAUAUAUCCAAAAAAUGUUUCUUGAUACAUAAUAUAAGCGAUAAAUAGAAAUCCAAAUCAAGUACACAAAAAAAUAAAUAAAUAAUCUAUGAAUUUGGUGGCGGCAAAGGGGCAAAGCUCGAAACACUCUGAGAGUUGAUCUAGGAAACAAUGGAGUCAAGUUUGUGGACCUACAUUUUUCAUGUGCGUCCCCACUUGAUGGUGAGACUCACUUUCUUUGUGAAAAAAAUGUUAUUUUUAUGAAAACUACAGUCGCCACUAAUUUUAUUUUUUUAAGGGCAAUAAAAUAAGAAACUAAAACCCUAAGAAAAAUGACUCCUUAAGUUUUGAAAAAUCAUGUAUUUGAAAAACUUGAGUCUAUAUUUAGGGAUCAGGUUACCUAUCGGAAAGGUACCUCAAAGAGGUAAUACCCCUUUAAGCCCUAAAGUGGUAGCUAAAUUGAGAGAAGUACGACAAUUAGUUUAUUGAUUGAGGAUACCAAGAAGGGUUAAGGUGAUUUUGAAAUUCUACAACACUAGCAAGUCAAGCAAGGAUUCUAAACACGAUGAUCAUAAAGAAAGAAUAGUAUGUGUACUUGAACCACAACUUGAGUGCUAUCACAAGACAUUAAAGUUAGUUUAGAUAUCAUAUCACUCAGAAUGCAUUAUCAUAUAGAUCAAUAAGCAUUCCUUGGGCUCAAGAAAUGGGGCUAUUAGGCAUGAGUACGAGUUAGUGUUGGGCUUUGUGGAGCCUAGUUUUGUUUGAUCUGGUUUGAUGACCCGACCCGAAUAAUAUUGCAUGGCUUUUUUAAUGGGAGAUUUAUUGAGGCAUGUUGGGCCCGUUUAGCCCAUUGUGGAACCACCUUUUGUAAUUAGGGUUUUUUAGUAUGGUAGGGUUGCCGUGCUAUAUAUAUAGAGAGAGAAUAUUGUAGCCACCAGGUUGUACUCUGUAUUCUUCCCUGAUAAUAGUGAUAUCCCUGCAACUCCGUGGACGUAGGCAAAUUGUCGAACCACGUAAAUAUUGUCUUGUGUGAGUGAUUGUUUUUCUUUGGCGUGUGUUUUCUCUAAUUUUUGUUUCUCACGGGUUGGGAAUUCGGUUUAAUUCCCUACAACUGGUAUCAGAGCCUAGGGUUAGGUUUGAGUGGGAGCAAUGGCAGAGGAAGCAAGAAAGGCGUCUGGAAUAGAAAAGUUUGAUGGCACAGACUUUGCGUAUUGAAGGAUGCAGAUUGAAGAUUAUCUCUAUGGGAGGAAAUUGCAUCUGCCUCUUUUGGGGACAAAACCUGAGAGUAUGAAGGCUGAGGAAUGGGCGCUUCUUGACAGACAGGUUCUAGGAGUUAUUAGGUUAACUCUGUCUAGGUCUGUUGCACACAAUGUUGUAAAGGAGAAGACCACAGCAGAUCUGAUGAAGGCUUUGUCCGGUAUGUAUGAAAAGCCAUCCGCAAACAAUAAGGUGCAUUUGAUGAAGAAAUUGUUCAAUUUGAAGAUGGCAGAGAAUGCAUCAGUAGCACAACAUCUGAAUGAAUUUAAUACAAUCACAAAUCAAUUGUCGUCUGUAGAAAUUGAUUUUGAUGAUGAGAUUCGUGCUCUGAUCGUCUUGGCUUCUUUGCCAAACAGUUGGGAGGCAAUGAGGAUGGCAGUAAGCAAUUCUACGGGAAAGGAAAAGCUCAAGUACAAUGAUAUACGAGAUUUAAUUCUGGCUGAGGAGAUUCGUCGAAGAGAUGCAGGUGAAACCUCAGGAUCUGGUUCUGCCCUAAACCUUGAGACAAGAGGUAGAGGUAAUAAUAGAAAUUCAAAUCAAGGUAGAUCAAAUUCCAGAAAUCCUAAUCGGAAUAAAAGCAAAUCUAGAUCAGGCCAACAAGUACAAUGCUGGAAUUGUGGGAAAACAGGUCACUUUAAAAGGCAAUGCAAAAGCCCUAAGAAGAAGAAUGAAGAUGAUUCUGCUAAUGCUGUAAUAGAAGAGGUACAGGAUGCAUUACUUCUUGCAGUAGACAGUCCACUUGAUGAUUGGGUUUUGGAUUUAGGAGCUUCGUUUCAUACCACUCCACACCGAGAAAUCAUACAGAAUUAUGUUGCAGGUGAUUUUGGUAAGGUGUAUUUGGCUGAUGGUUCAGCCUUGGAUGUUGUGGGUCUGGGAGAUGUCCGGAUAUUGUUGCCCAAUGGGUCUGUUUGGUUACUGGAGAAGGUUCGACAUAUUCCUGACCUGAGGAGGAAUCUGAUUUCUGUUGGACAACUUGAUGAUGAAGGACAUGCAAUACUAUUUGUUGGUGGUACUUGGAAGGUUACAAAGGGAGCUAGGGUAUUGGCUCGUGGAAAGAAGACUGACACUCUGUAUAUGACCUCAUGUCCAAGAGACACAAUUGCAGUUGUUGAUGCAAGUACUGAUACAAGCCUAUGGCAUCGCAGACUUGGUCACAUGAGUGAGAAAGGGAUGAAGAUGUUGCUGUCAAAAGGAAAACUACCAGAAUUGAAGUCCAUUGAUUUUGACAUGUGUGAAAGUUGCAUCUUAGGAAAGCAAAAAAAGGUGAGCUUCUUGAAAACUGGCAGGACACCAAAGGCUGAAAAAUUGGAACUAGUACACACUGAUUUAUGGGGGCCUUCUCCGGUUGCAUCCCUAGGAGGUUCAAGGUACUACAUCACCUUUAUUGAUGACUCAAGUAGAAAGGUAUGGGUUUAUUUUCUGAAAAAUAAAUCUGAUGUAUUUGUAACUUUUAAGAAGUGGAAGGCCAUGGUUGAGACAGAAACAGGUUUGAAAGUAAAAUGUUUGAGGUCAGAUAAUGGAGGAGAGUACAUAGAUGGAGGAUUCAGUGAGUAUUGUGUUGCACAGGGAAUUAGGAUGGAGAAGACCAUUCCUGGGACACCACAGCAGAAUGGUGUGGCUGAGCGCAUGAAUAGAAUUCUCAAUGAGCGUGCUAGAAGUAUGAGGUUGCAUGCUGGACUACCAAAAACUUUUUGGGCUGAUUCUGUUAGCACUGCAGCUUACCUGAUAAACCGAGGACCAUCAGUUCCCAUGGAGUUCAGACUUCCUGAGGAGGUUUGGAGCGGUAAAGAGGUGAAGUUUUCACAUUUAAAAGUUUUUGGUUGUAUUUCUUAUGUUCAUAUUGAUUCUGAUGCUCGUAGUAAACUUGAUGCAAAGUCAAAAAUAUGUUUUUUCAUUGGCUGUGGUGAUGAGAAAUUUGACUAUAGGUUUUGGGAUGAACAAAACAGGAAAAUCAUCAGAAGUAGAAAUGUGAUAUUUAAUGAACAGGUUAUGUACAAAGACAGGUCAUCUGUAGUGUCAGAUGUUACAGAGAUAGAUCAAAAGAAAUCUGAGUUUGUCAACUUAGAUGAAUUGACUAAAAGUACUGUCUAAAAAGGGGGUGAAGAAGAUAAGGAGAAUGUAAAUUCACAGGUAGAUCUGAGUACACCUGUAGUUGAAGUUCGCAGAUCUUCUAGGAACAUUAGACCUCCGCAGCGUUAUUCACCUGUUUUAAAUUAUCUCCUGUUGAUUGAUGGUGGUGAGCCAGAGUGUUAUGAUGAAGCCUUGCAAGAUGAGAAUUCAAGCAAGUGGGAGUUAGCCAUGAAGGAUGAGAUGGAUUCCCUAUUGGGAAAUCAGACAUGGGAACUGACUGAAUUGCCAGUAGGAAAGAAGGCUUUGCACAAUAAAUGGGUAUACAGAAUAAAGAAUGAGCAUGAUGGUAGCAAACGUUACAAGGCCAGAUUAGUUGUUAAAGGGUUCCAGCAGAAGAAGGGCAUUGACUACACAGAGAUAUUUUCUCCAGUUGUGAAGAUGUCAACAAUUAGACUUGUACUUGGAAUGGUGGAUGCAGAAAACUUACAUCUUGAGCAGUUAGAUGUGAAGACAGCAUUCCUUCAUGGUGACUUGGAGGAAGACCUUUACAUGAUUCAACCAGAAGGGUUCAUUGUUCAAGGACAAGAGAAUCUAGUCUGCAAACUGAGAAAGAGCUUAUAUGGCCUUAAACAAGCUCCUAGACAGUGGUACAAGAAGUUUGACAAUUUUAUGCAUAGAAUUGGGUUCAAGAGAUGUGAAGCUGAUCACUGUUGCUAUGUUAAGUCCUUUGACAAUUCUUACAUCAUAUUACUAUUGUAUGUGGAUGAUAUGCUUAUUGUAGGGUCUGACAUUGAGAAGAUUAAUAAUCUGAAGAAGCAAUUGUCCAAACAGUUUGGAAUGAAGGAUUUGGGAGCUGCAAAGCAAAUCCUUGGUAUGAGAAUCAUUAGAGACAAGGCUAAUGGUACAUUGAAGCUUUCACAGUCAGAGUAUGUGAAGAAAGUUCUCAGCAGGUUCAACAUGAAUGAAGCUAAACCAGUGAGCACACCCUUGGGUAGUCAUUUCAAACUAAGCAAAGAACAGUCACCAAAGACAGAAGAAGAAAGGGACCAUAUGAGCAAGGUGCCCUAUGCCUCAGCUAUUGGCAGCUUGAUGUAUGCUAUGUUGUGUACAAGGCCAGACAUUGCACAUGCAGUGGGAGUUGUGAGCAGAUUCAUGAGUAGGCCUGGAAAGCAGCAUUGGGAGGCAGUCAAGUGGAUUUUAAGAUAUCUAAAGGGUUCAUUAGAUACAUGUCUUUGCUUCACAGGUGCAAGUUUGAAACUGCAGGGUUAUGUAGAUGCUGAUUUCGCUGGUGAUAUUGAUAGUAGAAAGAGUACUACUGGGUUUGUUUUUACUCUAGGUGGUACAGCUAUAUCAUGGACUUCAAAUCUACAGAAGAUUGUUACUUUGUCUACUACAGAAGCUGAGUAUGUUGCAGCAACUGAAGCUGGAAAGGAGAUGAUUUGGCUACAUGGUUUCUUACACUACUACAAAAAUUGAAAUUAAUGACGCUUUAUUUUAUGACGCUUUCUAAAAGCGUCAUUAUUAAGGUUAUACAAUGACGCUUAUAAGAAGUGUCAUAGUUGUAUUAUUUAUCUUGAUACUUAUUAUAAGUGUCAUUAUUUGAUAUCAUCUUUUUCCUUAUAACUGUGUAUAUAAUGACGCUUAUAAGAAGCAUCAUAGUUUUAUGAUUUACCUUGAUACUUAUUAUAAGCAUCAUUAUUUGAUGGGUAUGUAAUGACGCUCCUGAUAAGUGUCAUAGUUGUAUUGACUUUUAAAAUUUUUGUUUUUAAGUUAACUUAUACAAAUUUUGAUAUUAGAAUUUUAUUCUAUAAAUUAAUUAUGGUAAAUUGACAUUAAUAUUAAUGACAUAAAGUUGCUACAUUAAGGUUUUUUAAAAAAAAUUGGAUAUAAAUAAAAUAAAAUCCUAAUAAAUUAUUUUUUAAUUAUUUGAUAUUAAUUUUUUAAAAUAUCAGUAUUCAAAUUAAACCAACAUCAACCUAAAAUAUCAAAUAAUUAAACAAUAUAAAUUCAUUAUGAGUUCAAUAUAUAAAAAUUAUUAUUGGAAGAUGAAAUAAAGAAUACUAUUUUUAAUUUAUUGAAAAAGGACAUGCAUGGUAUUUUAAAAUUUGUUAUAAAGUCUCCAUUGAAAACCCUAACUUUUGGAAGACAAGAAAGAAGGGAGAGAGCCACCGUUUUUAGUGAGAAAGAAGAGAAGAGAGAAAAACGCAAGUUUUUCUCAUCAUGCCCAGAUUUCAUCAAAGGUCCGAUCCCACUUCGUCCGUGGUCCGAUUGAGCUGAAAUUUGGAGGAGAGUUUCGUGACUCAUUUAUCUUUAAUCUGAACGGUGAAGAUCGUAUUUGGAGUUUCGGAAAGUCAUUAGAAAGAAAGAGGAAAAGAGAGAAAAACGCAGGUUUUUCUCAUCAUGCCCAGAUUUCAUCAAAUGUCCGAUCCCACUUUGUCCGUGGUCCGAUUGAGCUGAAAUUUGGAGGAGAGUUUCGUGACUCAUUUAUCUUCAAUCUGAACGGUGAAGAUCGGAUUUGGAGUUUCGGAAAGUCAUUAGAAAGAAAGAGGAGAAGAGAGAAAAACGCAGGUUUUUCUCAUCAUGCCCAAAUUUCAUCAAAUGUCCGAUCCCGCUUCGUCCGUGGUCCGAUUGAGUUGAAAUUUGAAGGAGAGGUUCAUGGCUCAUGUAUCUUCAAUAUUAACGGUGGAGAUCGGAUUUGGAGUUUCGGAGAGUCAUUAGAUAGAAAAAGGAGAAGAGAGAAAAACAACGGUUUUUUACAUCAUGCCCAGAUUUCAUCAAAGGUCCGAUGCCGCUUUGUUCAUGGUCUGAUUGAGCUGAAAUUUGGAGGAGAGGUUCAUAAGUCAUUAAUCUUAAAUUUGAACAGUGAAGAUCGGAUUUAGAGUUUUAGAAAGUCAUCUUUCAGCCAACAACAGAACCUUUAUUUUGGAUGACGCUUCCUGAAAGUGUCAUUGUUGUCUAAGACAUACAAUGACAAAGGCGAAGAGGACGCUUUAGAGAAGCGUCAUCUGUUACCUUUCUUAACGCUUAAAAAACGUCAUUGUUUCCCAUUUUUCUUGUAGUGUUAGAUGAAUUGGGUAAGAAGCAGGAGAUGGGCAUUCUACAUAGUGACAGUCAGAGUGCAAUUUUUCUUGCCAAAAAUUCGGCUUUUCAUUCAAAGUCGAAACAUAUACAAACAAAAUACCACUUUAUCCGUUAUCUUGUUGAGGAUAAACUGGUAAUACUUGAGAAGAUUUGUGGAUCUAAGAACCCUGCAGACAUGUUGACUAAGGGUGUCACUAUUGAGAAGUUGAAGCUGUGCGCAGCUUCAAUUGGUCUUCUAGCUUGAGGACAGGAGGAUGAGUUGUAGGGAUGAGGGAUCGUUUCUUGGAGGAUAGCGGUUUGAUGUUGGUGAUUGGACUAGUCUCCAAGUGGGAGAUUUGUUGGGCUUUGUGGAGCCUAGUUUUGUUUGAUCUGGUUUGACGACCCGACCCGAAUAAUAUUGCAUGGCUUUUUUAAUGGGAGAUUUAUUGAGGCCUGUUGGGCCCGUUUAGCCCAUUGUGGAACCACCUUUUGUAAUUAGGGUUUUUUAGUAUGGUAGGGUUGUCGUGCUAUAUAUAUAUAUAGAGAAUAUUGUAGCCGCCAGGUUGUACUCUGUAUUCUUCCCUGAUAAUAGUGAUAUCCCUGCAACUCCGUGGACGUAGGCAAAUUGCCGAACCACGUAAAUAUUGUCUUGUGUGUGUGAUUGUUUUUCUUUGGCGUGUGUUUUCUCUAAUUUUUGUUUCUCACGGGUUGGGAAUUCGGUUUAAUUCCCUACAGUUAGCAGGCCGAUAAGCUUCCUUCAAAUUUAAAGUAGCAGUAAGAGGGCAUGUGUAAGUAAAAGGGGUAUUUUAGUAAAUAACAACCAAAUCAACCAAUAACAACAUUUAACAUAGAAGUAUUUCACACACGAAACAUAUGUUUCUAUCAAAUUAGAAGAUUAAGAGUGGAUGGCGUACUUGAGUUUUAAGUUAAAAUGUGCUUCCAUGGAAAAGAAGGUUAGUGAACUUUUUUUGAAUCUUGUAAGCAUUUUUUCAUGUUGCAUCUUUUGAAAACAAGUUGGACAAUUGCCCUCUUGUUUCUUUUCAACUUUAUUUUCCUCAUCACCUUGUAUAGAGAAAAUUUGAACUGUAGAUGCUUGAGACAUACAUUUUGAAUCCUUUUGAAUUCGAUCUGUUGAAACUAACUUCUUGGGACUUGUAGUCACACCUCUGAACAUGAAUUUCCUUCCAUCAACAAUAAACUCCAUUCUCAAAUUCUUGAAAUCCCAUAAUAUGGGUCCCAAUUCAGCUAUCCAUUGAAUUCCCAAUACCAUAUCACAUCCACCCAAAAGUAUGAGCCUUAAAUCCACCUAAAAAUCCUUUCCUUGCAUGUUCCAUGUCAAUUGCCUACAAAUUGCAUCUCUAGUAAUUUUAGUUCCAUUUGCUACUACCACCUUCAUGGGGUUGGUAGUUUGUAUGGAGCAUCCUAUUCUUUUGGCCACUACGAGAUCAAGGAAAUUAUGGGUGCUUGCUAAGUCAAUUAUUAUAGUGAUGACCUUCUUCUUGAUGUGGCCAUGAAUUCUCAUGGAUGAGAUGUUGAACCAAAUAUUGCAUUCAUUGAAACCAUAAGAUCGUCCAACCUAAUAUUAUUUUCAGCUUCACAUGUCGCUUCCACUUCACUUUCAUGACCAUCUAAUAGAAAAAAUUACUUUCUUUUACUUUUAUGACUAGUUCAUACUUCUCAUCACAAUAAUAACAAAGUUUUUUUUUUCCAUCUCUCUUGCAUCUCUACGAUUGAAAUCCUCUUAAUGGGUGGUAAUUGACUAUUCUGAUUCAUUUUGAUUCCUAUAAAGUUCAUUGUACUCUCCCCAGUUUCGUUUAAGUCCUUAACUUCCCUGAGAAUCGUCUCCAUUUUCCCUUCCUACAAGGCUAACUUGAUGGUUUGGGCUAGUAUGUUUGGUCGAAACAUUGUGACUUGAUUUUUAAUUGCCUUUUUCAAGCCGCUAAUGAAACAUUAAACAAAAAAUUCCUCUAACAACCCACUAGUUCUAGCUAUCAAAGCUUCAAAGUACUCUUGGUAUGCCUUAACCAUAGACACUUGUUUUAAUUUGGUUAUUUGCCCAAUAGGGCUAUCAUAUACAUUAGGGCCAAACCUAGAAACAACAUCUAUAGAAAAUUGUGUCCAAUUGAUUUCCUUUGUAUUAGCCUCGUACCCUUGAAACUAUUUCAAGACGUUUCCUUCUAAAUAUAAGGAAGCCAAUCCUACCUUCUCUUGGUCCUCAAUUCCAUUAAUUUUAAAAAAUCUAUCACAUUUGUAAAUCCACCCACUAGGAUUUUCACCUUCAAAAUUUGGAAAAUUGAGUUUGGAAAACCUAGUUUGAAAGGAGUUUGUACUGUGUGAGUGAUAACCUAUCCCACUUUUAUUGAUUGAAGCAUUGUCCCCAUUACUUGAUUCCUUUAUUCUUGAGGUCAUGUGUUCAAAUUUUAGGUUUAUGGUUGUGAUCAUCUUCAAUAGUUCUGAUAAGGUGAUUGCUUGUUUAUCCGAUGAUUGCUUCAAUUGUUUAACCGUAUCUUCAAGUCUAUGUUGUUCUUACACUCUAGUCUCUUUUUCCAUGAUUAGUGUCAAGAUCGUGCUCUGCUACCAAUUCUAUGAGUCAAGGAGAAUAUACAAAUUUGAGAGAACAAUUUUUCUUAUUUAAAAUAUUUUUCCAUGUCUUUCCCAUUGCAGUCUCCCUAUUUUAUAUAAACUACUAAUAGAAAUAGAAACUGAAUAAAGUAGAAACUAAAUAAAUAAAAACUAACCCUAAAGAUGCUUUAUUCCCUACAUUAAAUAGAAACUAAUUAGGAAUUGAAACUAAAUAAAAUAUAACUAAUCCUAAGAUCCUUUAUUCCCUAAACGAAUACAAACUAAUUAGGAAUAAACCAAAGAUUUAGGGAUCGUAUGGAUCCUUUAUUCAGGUUGUAACAAGUGAGAGUUUGCAGCAGAGUGAAUGUUCCAGGCUCAUUAUUUUUUGUCUUAAUUUUGAGCUUGAAUUGUUAGGCAUGUCUGUAGUUAAUUUACCAUUCGACUGUUUUGUGAUAGUUUUCUCGUGGAUUAUUUCAUGAUUAGAACACUUUUCCAACUAAAGCCACAUCUUCUUGUUCUUUCUCUAGGGGGGAAGCAAAGAGAGAAGCUGAUGAUGAUGAUCAAGGGUGGCUUUCAAUGGACGAGGACUCAGAGGGCAAUCUUGUUUUUUAAAAGAUGUUCUCUUUCGAGUCACAAGUUUGAUUGGUUAUCUGAAUGGUGAUUUGAUUGUAAUAAGUAGUUUGAAGAUUCAAUCAGUUCUCCGUGCUAUUAGGCAAUCUCAGACAUGCUUAAAUAAAAAGAAUGAACUUGAUUUCUAAGGUUAAUGUGGUUUUUGACUGCUCAAAACCUUGAAUUAAUGUAUUUCCAAGUUACUAAUUAUGUUUUAUCAUUUGGAAACAAUUUAAUAGUAAGGUGUGUACUUUUUUUCAAUUUACUUUAAUGUGUGAUACAUGUUGGUGAGGAUGUGAAGUUCUCAUCUCACUGAGAUGAUCUCAGCCACCGAGAUUUCCCAAAAGUUCCUACUAAGUAAUCAGAAUGUUUGAUAAAAAUGCUAAUUUUUUUAAUCCAACCGGCUGAAAUUUUACAGGCUUAAUGUAGUAAUUGGAAGUACAUAAGCCUCCAUUAACGUGAGGCAUAAGAAUUUAAAGUCAAUUUUCCUUUGGGGGUGAUGAGGUGGGACAAUAGAGAUAUUGACUUUUGUCAACAUCAGACGUAAGAGUUUGAACCUAAUUGAUCAUUAGGCACAAGGUUAGGCCACCAUCAGGGGAAGAAUUCGUGGUAAUCGUGUACUACUACGAACUAAGCCUAGCACAGAUUUUGGUUUCUUGAGUGGGAAUGCUCCAUCCCCAUGUCAUAUUUGGAAGAACAGAGAUUCCUAAUGCAACUUUAAUAAGCAUCUGUCAACAAGGUAGAGUGGCUAGUUUCUCCGGCAUCUGUGCUUAAAGUCAAGGCCAUGCCUCUAGAACCUUGGUGUCUCUGACGUUUGGCUUGAAGUAGCAUCCAACAAUAGCAAAAUUUCUCUCCCUUCCGUCAUUUAUCUCAUCAUAGUAGUUGACAUAUAUUCAUUUUUGUUUGAAUCAGAUAACAUAAAACAAAGAAGAGUCUGUUUCCAAACUUCAAGUCCUGUUGGUUUGUUCAAAAUUUCAAAAUAAACCUAGUUGCCAUAUUUCUGGUUUUAGGUAUAUCAGAGCCAUAUAUAGGAGAAAGACCAGGGUUCUUCACUUUCUCCCUCAACUUUCUCUGAGAGACAUGGCCAUUUUCUCAGAACGAGCAAUUGUGCUACUCUUCUUUCUUUCUUCUCUUAUCAUCCAUGGAAGCCCAAAGCCUGACCUCUUCUACAGCCUUUGUACUGAAAAUGGCAACUAUGAACCCAAUAGCACUUACCAGUAUAACCUCAACCUCCUCCUCACUUCCCUGUCGUCAAAUGCUGCAACACUUAACGGCCGCAAAUUCCACAACCAGACGGCAGGCCAAGCGCCAGACAUGGUAUAUGGCCUCUACCUAUGCAGGGGGGAUGUCACAGACGCAGUAUGCCAGAACUGCGUCCAGACUGCAAGUCAAGAGAUUCUGACCAAGUGUCCCAACAGAAAAGAGGUAAUCAGUUGGUACGACCAGUGCAUGUUUCGGUACUCCAACCGAUCAAUCUUCUCAAUAAUGGAAGAAAGGCCAAGUGUGACUGGGUCUAACGAAUUGGAGAUGGAGGACCCAGAUAGGUUUGAUCAGAUUGUGAAUGAAACCAUGGUGGGUAUGAUUGAAAAGGCUACCUAUAAUUCUUCUGAGAGAGACAUGUUUGAGACUGGAGAAGCAAAAUUUAAUGCGUCCACCAAGAUAUAUGGUUUGGCGCAGUGCACACCAGAUUUAUCCGGCAGCGAUUGUAGGAGGUGCCUUGAAAAUAUUUUUUCUCGUAUUCCUAAUUGUUGCUAUGGGAAGCAAGGGGCCAGGAUUCUAGGACCAAGCUGCAACUUCAGGUACGAGGUGUACCCUUUCUAUGGAGACUUUGCAGCUGCUGCACCGCUUGCACCUUCACCUCUGUCACCUCCAGGUAAUAAUACAGCUUCUGAAUCUAAGCAGUAUUGGUUGAUUCGUUUCUCUACUUUCUUCGAGGCAUCUCCAUCAUAGAAGACCGCUUUUUUAGUCCUUUCUAUCAGAAAUUUUGGCAAAAUAUUUUGAACUGUGACAGUCCUGACCAUGUCUAAAAAGUAUAAAGAUUAUAGAACUUGAACAGAGACAAUGCACCAUGAAGUAGGUGAUGAUAGAAGAGAAACUACGUGAUCUCACUGUUGUAGUGUUGUGUGCAUUAAUACCACUACAGACAAAGCAUGCUACUUCAGCAUCCAUAUAUGGCCAACCCAGCAGUCAUGGUUUGCGUUUUCUUGUCCAGUCUACAAAUAUUAAAUGUAUUAAACUAGUUAAGCUUUGAAUCUUUGUUACUUCCUUCUUUACAAGCCAGAGUUCAAUAUAAAUUGACACAAAAUGGUUAUAAUUUCUCCAUUGAGCUGAUUUUUCUCAUGCAUCCAUUAAACUUAGAACUUGAGUUUGAUGGUUAGGGAAGGUCAUAUUUGCAAGCAAGACAAAAUAAAUACCUUAGAAUUCUGUUUCAUAAAAAUUGGUAAAUGUGAUUUUAGAUCUAAAUAUUUUAAAUAUGCCAGCUACAGAGCCUUCCAAGAGAUAUUUCAAAGUAGAAUUGACUGAUUUUAAGAUUUUCUAUAUCAUACUCACAUCAUGAAUGAUACUAAUAAGGGAUUAAACAAAACUACUCUUUUUUUUUCCUCUCCUACUUUUAACCAUUGGCAUGGAUUCUAAAUCUAUCCUCCCUAAGCCUGACGAUAUUUCUUCAUCUUGUAUAGGUAAAAAGGGAAACUCGUCCCGGCUUCUAAUUGUUAUCAUUGUUCCAGUUGUGGGCACAGUGAUAAUUUUUGGCUUCCUCUACUCUUGUUGGCUAAAUAGGAAGAUGAGAAAAAUCAGAACUGGUAUAUCAUUUACCCUUGGUGAAUUAAUUAAUGAUCUUUUAUACCUAUUAGCCGUACAUUUGGGGAAUUUGAAUCUAUUGUUUUACUUGUAUAUGAUGACUGUUGGGUGUUAUGGGAAAAAAAAUUACUAGUUUUUUUUUCUCUUGAAUCUGUUCUUCCAUAAGUGUACAUUGUGCAUUGAAUUGAAUUCUUGGUGUGUUGCGAAAAAGAAGGAAGCAAAAGUGACUCCACGCCAAGUGCUUUUGGGGAAGAUAGUCAAAGCAUGGACUCGACCAUGGAUUCACUACUCUUUGAUUUGAAGACACUUAGAGCUGCCACUAACAACUUCUCUGAUGCUAAUAAGAUUGGUGAAGGGGGCUUUGGAGCUGUUUACAAGGUAAGGACGCUGGUGUGUUUACAAGGCUUGAAUUGAUUUCAAGAUUAAUUAGAGUAUGCUUAACACUAACAUGGUGAAGAAUUCUCAGGGUCUACUUUCAAGUGGACUAGAGAUAGCUAUAAAAAGGCUCUCAAGAAAUUCAGGGCAAGGGACAGAAGAAUUCAAGAAUGAAAUUGCAUUACUUGCUAAACUUCAACAUAGGAAUCUUGUUCGCCUUUUGGGGUUUUGCUUGGAAGCAAAAGAGAAAAUACUCGUCUAUGAGUUUGUGCCCAAUAAAAGCCUCGACUACUUUCUAUUUGGUCCGUGUACCUUAUAUUUGCUUUCUAUAUGUGCCCAAUAAUUCAGAAAGAAGAAAAAGGCUCUGCUAUACAUCAUCAGAAUAUGUGCACACAUACACAUACUGAUGAUGUAUAGCAGAGCCUUUUUCUUCUUUCUGAAUUAUUGCACUGUGUCUGAACUCCAUCAUUAAGCUCUAAUGCUUACAUUUGUUCGAAUGAAUGAACAGAUACUGACAAACAAUCACAGUUGGAUUGGCCUACACGACACAAGAUUAUAGUGGGUAUUGCUCGAGGACUACUUUACCUGCAUGAGGAAUCUAGGUUGAAGAUCAUUCACCGUGAUCUUAAAGCUAGCAACAUAUUAUUGGACUCCAAGUUGAAUCCCAAAAUUUCUGACUUUGGCAUGGCAAGGAUUUUCUUUAUGGAGCAAAGUCAAGCAAAUACAACGAGGAUUGUAGGGACAUAGUAAGUUUCAGAAAAUUGAAUCUGUUUUACAUUUCUAAUCCAAUAACUAUACAUGCUUCCAACCCAUCAACUCCAUCAAACUCUUUCGAAAACAACGUAUAAAUUGUAAGCAUUAGAAGUGAGCAAACAAAAUUAUUCUUGAUUCCAACUUCUUCUCCCUGAUAUAUGUCUGUUGUGUAAUGCAGUGGUUACAUGUCUCCUGAGUAUGCAAUGCAUGGACAAUUUUCAGUGAAGUCAGAUGUGUUCAGUUUUGGUGUUUUGCUUCUAGAGAUACUAAGCGGCAAGAAGAAUAGUUGUUUCAACAACUCAGAGUGCAGCCAGGACCUUCUAAGCUAUGUUAAGUAUAUGCUACAUGACCCUAAAGUAGUUCUUCUGUUUUACUGUUCGAUAGUAUAGAUUUGUGCUCAAUACAUGCAUUUGAUGAAUUAUUGCAGGCUUGGAGACAGUGGAAGGAUCGAACAGCUCUGGAACUGAUAGAUCCAAUUGUGGGAGGAGAGUAUUCAAGAAGUGAAGUAAUGAGAUGCAUCCAUAUUGGGUUAUUAUGUGUUCAAGAAGAUGCAGCUGACAGACCCACAAUGGCAUCAGUAGCUCUCAUGCUAAACAGCUAUUCUGUUACUCUCCCUUUGCCUUCAAAACCCGCCUUCUUCCUUCAUUCUAAAAAGGAAUCCAAUCCAUCCACCAGCAAAUCUGUAUCGAUGUCCGUAGAUGAAGGGUCGAUCACUGAAGUGUAUCCUAGAUGAGAAUGCGAGAAGUAUGGACAAGUUUCAGGCCUGAUAAGGAGAGGGGUUUUAAGGGUGGCAGUAUAGGCCACUUCGGUGUAUGUUAAUGGACUGGUUUGUGAUUCUUGUACAUGGUGUGAGUGGAAUGUUAAGAAUACAUAUGUGCAUUUGGAGAAUUGAAGAAAAGGAGAGGAGUAAAACAGAGGACGUUGCCAAAUACAUAAGAGGAUGGAAGAAGGUGAAUGAUGUUUAAUUACUGCGUGUUAUUUCGAAUCAGUGAAUCAGCAAAUUUUCGUUUCAUUUGUUAUAAUAACCCAAAUCAAAUCACCAACUUUUUCGAAGGCUAUGCUACCAUAUCAUGUUAUUUCCAUCAUCAUAGCAUCUAUCAUUUGCAAUUUUCCUUUAUGACAGUAUUAUUUUAGUAAAGGCAAAUUGGAGUUGUAAACGAAGGUAAUCAUCCUUAUCUUCAAAUUACAUUGGUUGAAAAUUCUUAAAAACCUUCUUAUAUUUUGAUAUUAUUUUAAUAAAGGCAAAUGGAAGUUAUGAAGGAAGGAAAUUAAUAACUUUUUUUUGAGAAUUAGUUACGAGAACAUCAUCCAAAUUAUUAAAGAGGUAAUGAUGGAUUUAUUAUUAUUUAUAAAAAAUGAUUUUAUUUAUAAAAAAUUUAAGUUACCAAAUUGAUACAUAUGAAAGUUUGCAUUUCAACCUCUUAAAAUGUUUUAAAAUCUAAAUAAUUAAAUAAAAUUAUUAAUGAUAUAAACAAAUAAAAUCAAAAUACAGAGAACGAGUUAAAACUAAAAUGCUCCAUAACGAAACUCAAAUUACAUAUAGAGUAUAGCUUCAUAGGUGAUCUCUUACAAUAUAUAUGAAAUCAAUAGCAUGUAUAGUCGUGGAUUUACUUACCUCCAUUUGAUGUAUAGAGGAAGCAUAUAUACAAUGAGUCAGCGAUGUCUUGUGCCAUGUACGACGUUUUUAUGGCAUUUCAUGGAAUACAAUGAUUCUAAAGAUAUUUUAAGGCAGAGAAAUUAUUUUCAAUGUUUGGCAAAAUAGUAUAUUUUAUUGGAGACUCAGCAUUUUUCGAGUGGCCCAACAAGGACUUUGAGGGGAAAAUUUAGCAUUUAAAAAGAAGUUUUCGAAAGAAAUUGGGGCCCUCUUGCUUGUACUGCUCUCCAACAUGGUUUGGUUUGAAGUAUUAGUAAAUACAGAUACAUCGGUAUUUGAAUUUUACAGAUAUAUCAUAAAUAUAAGAGAAAUAUCUGACAAAAAAUAUUAUUAAGACGAAAAUGAUUCAAAAUUCAUAAAAAUAUUUAGAAAAAUGAUAAAAUAAAUAAAAUAUACAUGUUAGAAUUAUUUUCUAACUGUAAUUGACAUAUAUAUGGUCAAAGAAAAAAAUAUCCAUAAAGAUAAAUUAAUCUUAAUAAUUUAUUAUUUAUCUUAUCAAAUUAAUUUUAAUUUAUAAAAUAGGGCUUUGUUCAAACCAUAUGGUGUGAUGAGUGUAUGCUUAGGUGCUAACAGUUCCAUUUUCUCCAAAAUGGAGGAAGACCCGACAGAGUUUUUAUAGAUUUUGAUAAGCAGCCUGGUCACACGGAUUGUUUCUGGUUCCUCCAAAAUGUUUGCCAUGGAAAAAGUACGGGUCACGCCCUUUAACAAUACAUAUGGGUUGGUACAAUGCACUCCGUAGCUGGGGAUAAGUGUGUUUGGUGGGUUUAUUGGAAGCUUCUUUCAGGAACUAUUUUUGGGAGAGUCCGUGUUUCUCCGCCAAGGACAAUAAGUGAUUUUUUUAUUUUGUAAAAAUAUUUUUAAAAUUUUGUCAAAUAAACUCUACGAGACUUAGAAUGCAUUUACUAAUGUUAAUAUCUCAAGUGGGUUUAGUAAAACCGUUCUCCAAAAGUGUAUCAGAAAAAAAAUAGUUUAACAAGUGUUUUUUUAAGAAGUAUCAUCAAUGUUUUCAGAACCGGACCAGUUAUUGAACCAAAAAAAUUACCAGUUCAUAGUUCAUUAGUCGAAUCGGCGGUCGAACUGCGAUUGAACUAAUAAAUAUAUAAUUUAUAUAUCAUAUAAAAUUAAAAAUAAUUAUAAAAAAUUAAAAAUAUAUAAAAUUACAAAUUUUAAUAAUGUUUAAUUUUCAUAUUUGGUAUAUUAAAUUAAAUGAUAAAUUUUAAUGUUUUAAAUUUUAUUAAAUAUAAAUAUGUAAUAUUUAAGAAUGAAGAUAUAUUUAAUAUGAAAAAAUUUAUAAUAUUUAAUUUUAUCUUUUUGUCUUUGCAUUUUUGUGGACCCCGCAUUUCGUGCUCAAUGCGUUUCCCACUCGAUGACGAACUCGAUUUUUAUUUGAAAAAUUGAUUUUUAUUGAUUAUUGAAAAAUGACUUGGAGUCGCCACUUAUUUUUGUUUUAUUUUUUAAAGGGUAAACAAAAUAAGAAAGAAAAACCCUAAGCGUGACUCCUUAUUUUGGAAAAGGUGAUCUAUGAAAACCGGAUCGGGUUCGGGGGUCAGGUUACUUAUCGGGAAGGUACGACAAAAACCGUAGCACCCCUCUAAGUCCCUAAAGUCGGGUCUCUACUACUAAAAUGAAGCUGACAUGGCAAUCAAUGAGAAAAACAAUGAAUACUCAAAUCAAAUCAUGCACAUAUGAGUAUCAGAAUAUGCAAUAGAGGAUAACUGAAGUGGAAGUGGAUGCGUACCUGAUCAGCAAACGGCAACGCGCUAUCACAAAAUGAGAUUAGUGCAUAGUAAUGAACAUAAAGUAUGUCACUCAUGUCACCAAAACAGAUAAAGAAGCACCAAUAGCACGCAUGAUAUUUCAUUCAAAAUUCAUUUUUAUUUUAAAGCAAAUUUAUUUGAUGUAGGACCCCCACCAAAGCCCGUUUAUUUUUGCAUGAACUAAAUCCGUAAAUUCCAUCAUUAGGAAUUACAAAAUUUGAUUCUUGCUUAUUUUAAAACAUUUUAAAAAAACAAAAGAGAUGUGAAAAUGGCUUGCCAAGAAGAAGAGUGGCAGCAAAAUUUUAUUGGAAAAAUGGAUUUUUGGAACCUAAGAAAAAAACUAAGGAUGAAAAAUGGAUGAGUUUGAAAUUAUUUUAAAACAAACUAAGAUCUAGAAAAUUAUUUGAAGAAAGGGAUUUAAAAGAAUAUUUUUCAAAAUUAGAGAUGGUGAAAUGGGAAAAUGGCACUGUGGCCCAAAGGUGGCCAUGCACCAUGCAGAGAAUAGAGCCAUUCUGGAGGAUAACUCAUGCUACUGCCUCUUAUUUCAAUGUGGGGAACCCAAUUUGAAAGGCUAGGUCAAUUUCAGAACUUGCAGUCUUCCAGCUUCUUGACCACUUCUGAAAUUUUGGGGCCAUGAGCGGGCAAGUGUAGAGUAGAUAAUUGAGUCACUUCCCUGGUGUCAUCACUCUUCGCUUCCUUCUGUCUUGAAGCCUUCCAAUUAGCAGCCAAGGAUGAGAAUAUCUGUGACUAAUACCAACUCGGUCAACAAAGGAAACCCACAAUUCUUUAUAUGGAUCCCCUUAAUAUGCUUGAUUGUCAGCGGUCUUUCUCAAACAUUCAUGAUCAAAUUUAGUAAUAUUCAAAGGAACCCGUUUCCCUUCAGUCAUCUCCUUCUUUACAUCAUCUGAUUCAAUAGUCGAUUCACCUGGACUGCCACAAACAACCUUUUCAGUCUCGGGUUCAUGUUUUAUCCCAUUCCCUCAUCAUAUGGGUUUAAAAUGUUUGCCUUAGUAUUAUUUGUUGCUUCCUGUGAAUCCAUUGCUUCUUGCAUCACUCGCCUCGCUUUACAGCAUGUGAAGUCCUGUACUGCCACUGGAGCCCAUGCUAAACUGGUUAUGGAUGGCUUGAUGUAGUUGCUGCCGAAGAUGAGAUGAGUGAAGGGCCCCUAAGUUAAAUCCAUCAGGCCGUCCCAUAGGAAAAUGCUGAAAUUGCAUCAUAGACACAGCACUAUCACAAAGUUAUUCUUUCCGGUGAGGGUGAUUCGCGCUUGACUUUCCAGCCGGGUCUUGUAAUCAAAAACAUUUAUAAAACCUAUGACCUUAUACUGGCGUAGCAAAGCUACUAUAGUAUAGCAGUUCUAGGGUCGAACUCAGGGAUGGGUUUUCACUCUACCAAUGAUAGACUCUAAAUUAGAAAUUGAUUCUGAUGAUUUCCUUUAGCACAAACUUGAAAUUUAAAAGAAAAUAAAAUUGUUUUGAAAGUGGUGAUUUAAACUAAACUCACAUAGAACUAAGUAAAAAGUGGAAGAAAGAAAGUCUCCCGGAGCUGAAGGUUACUAGGUUCAAGUGCCAGAUGCAAAGUGGAAAAUUCCGGAUUUUUCUCCUCGCAUUGGGGAUUUAACCUAUAGUUAUUUCCCGAACCGGUAUAGGUUUGACAAUGAAGAUUUAAUCCAUAAAAAGUCAUUAGAGAUGGUAGUCAAGGUCCAUUAAUGACUUAAGACACUAUGGACUAUCACCUUGAAUCACUUUCCACUGGCUCGUACAUGAUAACUAAUGGACUGAUAUGGAUCUAGCAAUAAGCAUCCACAGAGACCUUAAGCUUACCAUGUAUUGGCCAGUCAAAGUGAUCCUAAGGGAUUUAAGGCAAAACCUUGGCUUUAAAAGCCAUUUAUGGACUCCAACCACCUGAAUUCAAUGCACGGAAACUUUCCACCUUUUAAUCUGGACUUUUCACCUAGCUUCCUUCACUCCAAGAAACUAAAUGUUUAGCCUCUCAUCCUCCGGGAAAACAUCCUCAGAGGGUGUUUGGCUUGCAAGAAAAUAGAAAAUAGAAGAGAGAAAAAAUAAACAAAAGAGAUCUCUGUAUUUCACUCAGUAUCAAAUUUUCAUUGGUCUCCUGGAGAAAACUCCCCGAAAGAUAGAUUUUCAGUGAUUACAAGAGAAUUUAUAUAGGAAGGUAAUUUUACCCUUCCUUGGAUACUUCCUAGCUAAGGAAUUACAUGAGUGGUUGAAUACAAGGAGAAAAUGGAAAUUUAAACACAAAAAUAUCAGAAGAAAAAGAGUCGGCAAAAAUAUCCAAUUUUCGCACGCUGAGUUCCAAUUUCGCAUGUUGGUUUGAGGUGUGCGAAAUUUUCGCACAGUGGACUGAGGAUUUCGCACCUUAAACAGUGGUGUGCGAAAUUGUCCCUCAGCUUGAUGCAGUUGUCUUCCGAAGUCCGUAUCUUCCUCAUUCCAGCUCCAAAUCAUACAUGGUUUGAACCAUUGGAUUCUUGACUUUCUGAGCUUCGAAAUGGUAUAUAGAAUGUAAACAAUGGACUUCGGGAAGUGCUCCAAAAGUGCACUAAAAGACUGCAGCUGUGUCCCCUGUUUUCAUCCCCUGUUUUCUUCUUCUCCAUUGUUUCUCCCUUGUAAACUUUGAACGACUAAGGCAAAGGAUUAUGAGGCUCCAUAGCUUGAUUUCUUCAAAAAUCAAAGCUUCCAAAAGCUUUGCCAUGAACUAUAAAUAGCUCCCCCUCAUUCUUAAAUUGCUUUGGUGAGCAUAAAGCUAUCAAAAAGCACCAAAACUUAACACAAUUGUUAGAAAUCUGAUUGCAAGGGUCCCUAACAUGUUAAUCGAGUUAAAAGGUAAUAAUUACUACUCAAGGGUGUUUAAAAGAGCUAAUUACAAGCUACAAAAUAGCAUGUUUUGAGUAGUAAUCAGAGGGUCCAUAGGAAAAUCAGUAUUUCUACCCUUAAAUCCUGGUAAUACAAGAAAAUCUUCAUUCUGGAUACUGAAUUCUCAGUUUUGAUGGACAACUCCAAUGCUUCGUUCCACAGAGAACCCAACUAUCCUUGAAAGCUACCAGCAGAAUUAAGGUGAGCGGUCAGUUGGGGAAAAUCAUCUGUGUCAAAAGGAACAUUCUCAUGGACACUCAAAUCCUUUAAUGAUGCCAUGGAAUUUGAAUGAUUAUUCACUGCUUGGACCUGGCUUUGAGAUCGUAGCCCUCCCACAGAAGAAUAAGAAUUUCUGGAUAUAAAUGUCACCUAGUGAAAGAACGCCACCCAUUAAUCUGCUAGUUUCUUGUGUACCCAUAUUCCCAUAUUCAUUUUGAAUUGACAUCCUGAGAAAAUGUUAACUCAAUUGGUAACAUAACUUCCUCAACAGUCUUCUCAGUCAAAUCAAAAGCCCCACUUACAUUUGUUGUCUCAUCAAGUGAAUUCACUUACUUUGCUAGCCUCUUGGCCAUGGAUGGAGACAAGUGCUUUCAAUUGAGCCCGUCUGAAUACUGCUUCAUUAUGACUAAGUACCAAGUCUAGGAUCUUCCCAAUUGGAUGGCAAGUCAUCAUUAAAAUACGGGCUAGCAAUAUAAAAUUUGCGCCUUCAGAAAGUCCAAAUCUGCUGCACAUUGCUUAUGGAAUAACCUCUCCAAAAGCUAUGACGAAAGUAACAGAAGGUACAAUAGCAGCAAAUGGAUUGAAAAGCUCAUCCAGGUAUAAUGGGAGGGCCUCUAUGGGACGCAACAUUGCAAAGAAACUGAGUCAUAAGGAUCGGAUGUUGCUUUUGAACAACUAGAGAGAUAGCAGUCACUUGCUUCUUCUUGUCAAAAUGCCACUGUGCUGAAGAAACUCAAAAUCGACGCAGCCGGGAGACAUGAAACCUAGGUGUGACCAGUCAUAAUACUGAUGAAGGGGACAAGCAAACGACAGAUCCCGACGUAGGUGAAGAACCACAAGGACCCGAAGGGGAUGUCACCUCUGCAAAGGGAUUCAGCACCGAGAUUUCUCGUUGCCAAGACGUAGGGUGAAGUCCAAUUUAGGAUCUAUAGAGGACUCCUCUUCAUUUUCUUUGGCUGAGGGCAUUGUAGUGCAAGCAGUGGCUCAAUUUUACUAUCUAACUCAUCCAUUUCUCUUGGGAUGGCUCGGGGUGCUCCGCCUCUUUUCAAAACAAGCAGCAGUGGGAUCAAUCUGACGCCUAACAGCUUCUCCAUCAAUUCGCCAACCUUAUCAUCAGAAAAAUGUCCCGGCAUGCAUGGCAUCCACUGCUCUAAUUCAAAGGAACGUGAAAGUAUCUCAACAACAUUGAAAGUUUCUCAAGAUAUCCCUUCAAAUUCAAUGCCCUUGGAGUUUUUCAAGCAUCUCAAAACUGCAUCAUAAUCCCCAAGUUUGUAGAUGUCAGCUUUUCCACCACUGUGGUUUUGCAGGUAGUGAGAUGGCGCAACAUUUGCAUGACAAUCAUUCAUUCUUUGCGUGCACUCAGCUUCCUCUUCCCUUUAUUGACUGGCUCCUUCUCUGACUGACAAGUCAAUUGAUUCACUUCUCCAGAUCAAAUGCACCAAGAUGGGCGCAAACCGGCAGCACACCAAAUUCACGUGACUGCAUGGAUUCAUAGCACGACAGACAGUAAUUUUCUAUAGAGCCCCUUUCCCUUUGAUCUCCCUACUUUCAGCAUCCUUUCUUUCUAACUGAACUUCCUCUGCUGAUGGACCAGGAUUCUCAGCAAAGAACUACUCUCAGCAUACAUCAGCGACCCUAGUUGGAACAGGAGAUGCAGCCCCGAAAUAGUAGUAACAUCGAGCUUUUCUGCGGUCACUGAUGCUAUGUGAGAGCUCAACUUCUUCUUCACAGAACUGCUCUAGCGGUUCUUUAUGGCAUUGUCCAUCCUUCCCGGCAAGAAUUUUGUCAACUCUGUCUACCUGUUUCCAUAUAUUCAGUAUGUGGUUAAAGGUGAGAAGGAUGGGUGUAAUGGUGAGUUGGUAGGAAGUAAGCAAGUUGGCAUGGUGAUGAGGGUAUUGGGGGUAUGAAGGUUAGGAAAGGGGCAUGAAGGAUAGGAGGUGUUGAAGGAUGCAGGCAUAGGGUUAAUGGUAUGGGUGAUGAAGUACAAAAACUGGGAAAGUAAUGAGAUGAAGGUGAUGAGAUGGUAUUAUUAUGAUGAGGCUUAGGAAAGAUGACAAUGGAUAAGGUGAUGAAAUAACAGAUGGGGAUGUAGGUGCAUGGUGGGCUUUAAAAAUGUGGGUAACAAUGUGAUGAAACGGGAUGUUGGAAGUAGGUAUGAGAUUAGUGAGCUGGCAGUAAAAUCAGCUUGAUGAAAAAUAAAACCAUGAUGAUCAGAAUUACAUGCCCAGCAAGGAGUUCAUGAGGAGUCACCCGCCUGGGAUGUGUCACUGAGUAACACAUGCGGCCUGCAGGCAUUGUCUUCCCUCAUGAUUUCUGAGCAAUCAUCUACCGUCCUUAUCAAAUUAAUCCCCACAGUUUACUCUCUCUUUGUUGCAUCCAUUAGAUACCUUCCCUGCUUGGCAUAUAUUUUCCUGUCUCAGACGAGUGAUAUCUCUUCCACAAAACUUACAUCUCUUAUCAUCAAACUGCUCUUCCAUACCACAACGGUCACGUCAACCCUGCUGAUUGUUCAAAUGCCAUCAAACGAACCAGAAGUUGGAGAUUCUCAACAACCAGAUCAUCUUGAGUCUGAAUGAACUAAGAAAAACUCACUGAAAGCCCUCACAUAGCUUCUUCAGGCCGGGAUGAGAAACCAGGUGCAUG
RNAcentral lists this long non-coding RNA (38733 nucleotides) under Vitis vinifera (wine grape). RNAcentral describes it as "long non-coding RNA (VVIN_LNC003271)". Lineage: Eukaryota; Viridiplantae; Streptophyta; Magnoliopsida; Vitales; Vitaceae. The record is from RNAcentral.